GACUACCAGUGUAUCUAAUCCUGUUCGAUACCCACGCUUUCGUGCCUGAGCGUCAGUUGUGCACCGGUAUGCUGCCUUCGCAAUCGGGGUUCUUCGUGAUAUCUAAGCAUUUCACCGCUACACCACGAAUUCCGCCUACCUCAACUGUACUCAAGACUGCCAGUAUCAAUUGCAAUUUUACGGUUGAGCCGCAAACUUUCACAACUGACUUAACAACCCAUCUACGCUCCCUUUAAACCCAAUAAAUCCGGAUAACGCUCGGAUCCUCCGUAUUACCGCGGCUGCUGGCACGGAGUUAGCCGAUCCUUAUUCAUAAAGUACAUGCAAAAAGGCACACGUGCCUCGUUUUAUUCCCAUAUAAAAGAAGUUUACAACCCAUAGGGCAGUCAUCCUUCACGCUACUUGGCUGGUUCAGACUCUCGUCCAUUGACCAAUAUUCCUCACUGCAGCCCCCCGUAGG
This 460-nucleotide ribosomal RNA is filed under the name uncultured bacterium. Its description in RNAcentral is "partial 16S ribosomal RNA". The record is from RNAcentral.